AUGCCGCUCGCCGGGGCAGUCCCCUCCGCCGCAAUUCUUCUCCUCGUCGUCCUCUCGGCCGAGGGGCAGCCGUUCAAGGGCCUCGUGCCCAAGAACGGGAGCGUGGGCUUGAUCGGCAACAACGUGACCGCGACGGCCGACGCGGCAGCGAUGUGCUACCGGAGCGCCGUCAACGAGGAAGCCAGGCCGAGCAAGACGGUCGUCGACGUGGCCCCGCUCGCCGUGUGCCUCGCCCUCGACGACGCCGUGUUGCUGCCGCGGCCGCUGCUGCUCAACGGCGCGGCGUCAGUGCCGUCACCGGCGGCAGCGCGCCAGUUCGUGCCACCGCCACUGCCGGCGGACGCGCCCGCGCCUACACCCGGAGCCUCUCCUGAGGAUGAAGAUAAGAAGGGGUUGAGCGGGCGAGCAAAGGCAUGGUGCUGCGGGGCUCUCGCCGUGGGGAUUACGAUCGUCGUUUUGCCCGGAGCGGAGAUCUAUUUGAUCCACGCAACGAUCUACUUGACCCAAGCUUUAUCUGUUGAUGACGCGCCGGUGGUCGAUGGCGACGGCGACGGCGACGGCGAGCUCUUCGACUGCGCCAUCUGCAUGGAGACGGUGCCCGGCGUCCGCAAGUUCAGCGUCGGCUCGUGCGGCCACGCCUUCUGCUCGGGCUGCGUCGCCCAGUACGUCGCUGCUAAGCUGGGCGAGAACGUCGCUCGCGUCAAAUGCCCUGACCCCAGCUGCAAGAACGGCGCCGUCGAGCCGGAGAGCUGCUUCGGCAUCAUCUCCUCGGACCUGCUCGACAAGUGGGGUUUCCUGCUGUGCGAGUCCGCGCUCGGCGGCAAGAAGAUGUACUGCCCGUUCAGAGAAUGGCUGUUCUGCGCCCGGUGCGCGGCGCCGUGGCACGCCGGCGUCGGGUGCAAGGAGUUUCAGGAGCUCGGCCAGGACGAGCGCGGCCGGGAGGACUUCCUGCUGAGGCGGCUCGCCGGACGGCAGAGGUGGCAGCGGUGCCCCCAGUGCAAGAUGUACGUGGAGAAAUCGGAAGGAUGCAACUACAUCAAAUGCAGGUGUGGAUGCAGCUUCUGCUACAGAUGUGCGUCCAAGGUGUCCGCCCAAACCCAUUACUGCGGCAUGUGCAAGCGCUAA
This 1125-nucleotide ribosomal RNA is filed under the name Triticum aestivum (bread wheat). Its description in RNAcentral is "partial small subunit ribosomal RNA". Lineage: Eukaryota; Viridiplantae; Streptophyta; Magnoliopsida; Poales; Poaceae. The record is from RNAcentral.